Molecule: ribosomal RNA, 2892 nt
Filed under: Clostridium perfringens
Lineage: Bacteria; Bacillati; Bacillota; Clostridia; Eubacteriales; Clostridiaceae
Description: partial 23S ribosomal RNA
Rfam family: Bacterial large subunit ribosomal RNA
Source: RNAcentral
AUAUAGGUCAAGCUACAAAGGGCGCAUGGUGAAUGCCUUGGCAUCAGGAGCCGAUGAAGGACGUGAUAAGCUGCGAUAAGCUUCGGGUAGGCGCACAUAGCCUGAGAUCCGAAGAUCUCCGAAUGAGGAAACUCACAUGGGAAACCCCAUGUAUCAUUAAGUGAAUACAUAGCUUAAUGAAGGUAACCCAGGGAACUGAAACAUCUAAGUACCUGGAGGAAGAGAAAGAAAAAUCGAUUUUCUUAGUAGCGGCGAGCGAAAGGGAAAGAGCCCAAACCGGAAACUUGUUUCCGGGGUUGUGGACAUAACAUAAAAGUGGAGGCUAUUGUAACUGAAGAGAACUGGAAAGUUCCACCGUAGAAGGUAAUAGUCCUGUAAGUGAAACGAGAAGACCACGAGUUAUGAUCCAGAGUACCACGAGACACGUGAAACCUUGUGGGAAGCAGGGAGGACCACCUCCCAAGGCUAAAUACUACCUGAUGACCGAUAGUGAAGCAGUACCGUGAGGGAAAGGUGAAAAGAACCCCGGGAGGGGAGUGAAAUAGAACCUGAAACCGUGUGCCUACAACCGCUCAGAGCCCCUUAUGAGGGUGAUGAGGUGCUUUUUGUAGAACGAGCCAACGAGUUACGGUAUGUAGCAAGGUUAAGUACUUAAGGUACGGAGCCGAAGGGAAACCGAGUCUGAAUAGGGCGACUAGUUGCAUGCCGUAGACCCGAAACCGGGUGACCUAUCCAUGGCCAGGUUGAAGCGAGGGUAAAACCUCGUGGAGGACCGAACCACGUUGCUGUUGAAAAAGCAUGGGAUGAGCUGUGGAUAGCGGAGAAAUUCCAAUCGAACCCGGAGAUAGCUGGUUCUCUCCGAAAUAGCUUUAGGGCUAGCGUCGAGUAUGAGUAGUGGAGGUAGAGCACUGAAUGGGCUAGGGGGCAUAGCGCUUACCGAACCUUAUCAAACUCCGAAUGCCACAUACUUUGAGCUCGGCAGUCAGACUACGAAUGAUAAGAUCCGUGGUCAAAAGGGAAACAGCCCAGAUCGUCAGCUAAGGUCCCAAAGUGUAAGUUAAGUGGGAAAGGAUGUGAGAUUUCUAAGACAACUAGGAUGUUGGCUUAGAAGCAGCCAUUCAUUAAAAGAGUGCGUAAUAGCUCACUAGUCGAGAGAUCUUGCGCCGAAAAUGUAACGGGGCUAAACUUACCACCGAAGCUACGGGCUUGAACUUAGUUCAAGCGGUAGGAGAGCGUCGUAACCGGGCUGAAGUCGUACCGUAAGGAGCGGUGGACUGGUUACGAGUGAGAAUGUUGGCAUCAGUAGCGAGAUGUGGGUGAGAAUCCCACAGGCCGAAAACCUAAGGUUUCCUCAGGAAGGUUCGUCCGCUGAGGGUUAGUCGGGACCUAAGCCGAGGCCGAAAGGCGUAGGUGAUGGACAACUGGUUGAUAUUCCAGUACCACUACCAUCGUUAUUAUCGAUGGCGUGACGCAGGAGGAUAGUGUGUGCUAGCUAUUGGAUGCUAGUCUAAGCGUUUAGGCAGUGAGAGUAGGCAAAUCCGCUCUCAUAAUGCUGAGGCGUGAUGGGGAAGGUUCUACGGAACCGAAGUACAUGAUUCCACGCUGCCAAGAAAAGCGUCUAGAGAGAGAAGUAGUGCCCGUACCGCAAACCGACACAGGUAGGUGAGGAGAGAAUCCUAAGGCCGGCGGAAGAAUUACAGUUAAGGAACUCGGCAAAUUGACCCCGUAAGUUCGCGAGAAGGGGUGCCUACGAGAGUAGGCCGCAGAGAAUAGGCCCAAGCAACUGUUUAGCAAAAACACAGGUCUCUGCUAAAGCGUAAGCUGAUGUAUAGGGGCUGACGCCUGCCCGGUGCUGGAAGGUUAAGGGGAACACUUAGCGCAAGCGAAGGUGUGAACUUAAGCCCCAGUAAACGGCGGCCGUAACUAUAACGGUCCUAAGGUAGCGAAAUUCCUUGUCAGGUAAGUUCUGACCCGCACGAAUGGCGUAAUGACUUGGGCACUGUCUCAACUGUAAAUCCGGCGAAGUUGUAGUGCGAGUGAAGAUGCUCGCUACCCGCGAUUGGACGGAAAGACCCCGUAGAGCUUUACUGUAGCUUAGCAUUGAGUUUUGGUAUUGUCUGUACAGGAUAGGUGGGAGACUAGGAAACCAGGGCGUCAGCCUUGGUGGAGUCAACCUUGGGAUACCACCCUGACAGUACUGAAAUUCUAACUGGCGGCCAUGAAUCUGGUCACAGGACAUUGUUAGGUGGGCAGUUUGACUGGGGCGGUCGCCUCCUAAAAAGUAACGGAGGCGCCCAAAGGUUCCCUCAGAACGGUCGGAAAUCGUUCGAAGAGUGCAAAGGCAGAAGGGAGCCUGACUGCGACACCCACAAGUGGAGCAGGGACGAAAGUCGGGCUUAGUGAUCCGGUGGUACCUCGUGGGAGGGCCAUCGCUCAACGGAUAAAAGCUACCUCGGGGAUAACAGGCUGAUCUCCCCCAAGAGUCCACAUCGACGGGGAGGUUUGGCACCUCGAUGUCGGCUCGUCGCAUCCUGGGGCUGAAGUAGGUCCCAAGGGUUGGGCUGUUCGCCCAUUAAAGCGGCACGCGAGCUGGGUUCAGAACGUCGUGAGACAGUUCGGUCCCUAUCCGUCGCGGGCGUAGGAAAUUUGAGAGGAGCUGUCCUUAGUACGAGAGGACCGGGAUGGACUGACCUCUGGUGUACCAGUUGUUCCGCCAGGAGCACAGCUGGGUAGCUAAGUCGGGAAUGGAUAAACGCUGAAAGCAUCUAAGCGUGAAGCCAACCUCAAGAUGAGAUUUCCCAUAGCGUAAGCUAGUAAGAUCCCUUGAAGAACACAAGGUUGAUAGGUCGGGGGUGUAAGCAUGGUAACAUGUUCAGCUGACCGAUACUAAUA